Long non-coding RNA from Meriones unguiculatus (Mongolian gerbil), 734 nucleotides. RefSeq lists it as uncharacterized. The transcript has 3 exons. The record is from RefSeq and is a predicted model, not a curated record. Lineage: Eukaryota; Metazoa; Chordata; Mammalia; Rodentia; Muridae.
GACAAUUCGAUCUUCCAUGAGGAGGUCUGGGGAGAGGGGGCGAGGACUCAGGUGUUUGCAUGCAUAGCAGCCUGAGGGAAAUGCGUCGCUAGGACACAGAACCCAGCAGGGACUGGGGAGGCUGAGGGGCAGGGAUGGGUUAUGGGGAGAAGCCUGGGAUCAUCAGUCAUGAUGAGGCCAAGGAAGGACAGGAAGAGUUAGGAAACAGGGGCUGAGAAGCAGGGGCAAAGGGGACAAUCGGUGGGGAAGAGGGCUUUCUAGGCCCCGGGGAACAGGAUCUGAGGGCGGACCUACACGCAGGUCAUUCCCACACACAGAUAGCUGCUUUCUGCCCGCGACUUCAAAUGACAGAGGGAACUCUGGUCUCUCCUCAGAAGGUUAACCCCAUCACGGGAACUCCAGACUCACGCCUUCACCCAGAGCUGACAAUCUUCCAGAGGUGAUACCCCCAUCCCUGCCCGCAGUCCGUGGAAUCCUGGAGAGGGUGCAUCUUCGUCCCCUCUGCCUUCGCCUCUGUGAGCAGCUCCUCCUGCCUUGCCCAGGACCUUCAGUGGAGAGUACUGUGUUUUCAUAUUAAAAAUGCCUUUCCUGGGACUGCAGAGAUGGCUCAGAGGUUGAGAGCACUGGCUGCUCUUCCAGAGGUCCUGAGUUCAAUUCCCAGCAACCACAUAGUGGCUCACAACCGUCUAUGGUGAGAUUUGGUGCCCUCUUCUGGAGUUCAGGUGUACAUGCAG